This 435-nucleotide ribosomal RNA is filed under the name uncultured Flavobacterium sp. RNAcentral's name for it is "bacterial SSU rRNA". It matches the Rfam family "Bacterial small subunit ribosomal RNA", at positions 358 to 790 of the family's 1533-position model. Lineage: Bacteria; Pseudomonadati; Bacteroidota; Flavobacteriia; Flavobacteriales; Flavobacteriaceae. The record is from RNAcentral.
GGAAUAUUGGUCAAUGGGCGCAAGCCUGAACCAGCCAUGCCGCGUGCAGGAUGAAGCAUCUAUGGUGUGUAAACUGCUUUUAUACAGGAAGAAACAACUCUACGUGUAGAGUCUUGACGGUACUGUAGGAAUAAGGAUCGGCUAACUCCGUGCCAGCAGCCGCGGUAAUACGGAGGAUCCAAGCGUUAUCCGGAAUCAUUGGGUUUAAAGGGUCCGUAGGCGGCCUUGUAAGUCAGUGGUGAAAUCUCCCCGCUCAACGGGGAAACGGCCAUUGAUACUGCAGGGCUUGAAUUAUUGGGAAGUAACUAGAAUAUGUAGUGUAGCGGUGAAAUGCUUAGAUAUUACAUGGAAUACCAAUUGCGAAGGCAGGUUACUAUCAAUACAUUGACGCUGAUGGACGAAAGCGUGGGUAGCGAACAGGAUUAGAUACCCCAG